RNAcentral lists this ribosomal RNA (253 nucleotides) under uncultured bacterium. Its description in RNAcentral is "partial 16S ribosomal RNA". It matches the Rfam family "Bacterial small subunit ribosomal RNA", at positions 524 to 776 of the family's 1533-position model. The record is from RNAcentral.
UACGUAGGGGGCAAGCGUUGUUCGGAAUUACUGGGCGUAAAGGGCGCGUAGGCGGCACGGCAAGUCAGGAGUGAAAGGCCUGGGCUCAACCGAGGAACUGCUUUUGAGACUGCCGAGCUAGAGUGCAGAAGGGGCAACUGGAAUUCCCAGUGUAGCGGUGAAAUGCGUAGAUAUUGGGAAGAACACCUGAGGCGAAGGCGGGUUGCUGGGCUGACACUGACGCUGAGGCGCGAAAGCUAGGGGAGCGAACGGG